Molecule: ribosomal RNA, 501 nt
Filed under: uncultured bacterium
Lineage: Bacteria
Description: partial 16S ribosomal RNA
Rfam family: Bacterial small subunit ribosomal RNA
Source: RNAcentral
AUUGAACGCUGGCGGCAGGCUUAACACAUGCAAGUCGAGCGGAGAUGAGGUGCUUGCACCUUAUCUUAGCGGCGGACGGGUGAGUAAUGCUUAGGAAUCUGCCUAUUAGUGGGGGACAACAUUCCGAAAGGAAUGCUAAUACCGCAUACGUCCUACGGGAGAAAGCAGGGGAUCUUCGGACCUUGCGCUAAUAGAUGAGCCUAAGUCGGAUUAGCUAGUUGGUGGGGUAAAGGCCUACCAAGGCGACGAUCUGUAGCGGGUCUGAGAGGAUGAUCCGCCACACUGGGACUGAGACACGGCCCAGACUCCUACGGGAGGCAGCAGUGGGGAAUAUUGGACAAUGGGGGAAACCCUGAUCCAGCCAUGCCGCGUGUGUGAAGAAGGCCUUAUGGUUGUAAAGCACUUUAAGCGAGGAGGGGGCUCUUUUGGUUAAUACCCAAGAUGAGUGGACGUUACUCGCAGAAUAAGCACCGGCUAACUCUGUGCCAGCCGCCGCCGUAA